Canis lupus familiaris (dog) is the source of this 4910-nucleotide long non-coding RNA. RefSeq lists it as uncharacterized. The transcript has 3 exons. NCBI's taxonomy places the organism in Eukaryota, Metazoa, Chordata, Mammalia, Carnivora, Canidae. The record is from RefSeq and is a predicted model, not a curated record.
CGCGGAGAGCCGGCUCAGCCGAGCGCCGCUCCCCCUGCCCCCACCCCUCCCUCCGCGCCGCCCUCCUCCUCUUCACCUUCCUCCAGCCGGGCGCAGGCGAGCCGAGCCGAGCCGAGCGGCAGCAACAAGUUCAAAAGGUGUUGCUGCGUUCCCUUGUUCCGAAACGCCGGGGACUCUGAGAUUUCAACUAUCCGCUCGUUCGUGGAAAUGCCACAGGAAGUGUAUGGAUACGAAAUCCGGCCGAGCGGUCUCACUCCCAAUGCUUCUCUUGCCCAGGGGUUUCCGUUCUUCCUUAUUAUGUUCUCAUUUUAUAAACUCUGCUUGGUUGAUGGAAAAUAACCUCAGCAAGAGCAAACUGAAUUCAUCACCUACUCAGGUGUCACUCCUGAUAGAUAAAGCCCAACGUAGGAAACCCGGUGGUCGUUCACAGACCAGGCCCACCGCGUCCUCCUCUCCCCAAACACCCACACGCUCAUCCAAUGAUCCAAGAAGCUCGCUACCAUCUAUCCUUAGGCUGUAUCCACGGUGAUGUCUUAAAAAAUAUUUUGAAAUAAUGAUAGAGUCAAUGCAAUCGUGAGAAAUAAGAGACCCAUCACCUAGCUUCCCCCCAAAGGUGACAUUUUGCAUGUUGCAGUACAGUAUCACCACCAGGAAAGUGACACCGAUGCAACCCACUGACCUUAUUCAGAUUUCACCAGUGUUACAUACACUGACUUUUGCAUGUUUCUAUUUCGUUCUGAUUUUCUCACACACAUAGGUUUGUGUGACCACCAUCCCCGUAAACAUAGAUUCUCACCACGAAGAUCCCCUUUUAAAGUCAUAACUGCCGCCCUCCCUCCUCCCUUCCCUAUCCCUUGUCAACCACACAUCUGUUCUCCUUUAUAGUCUAUCAAUUCAAAAAUUUUUAUAUAGAAGGAAUCGUGCAAUGUAAACUUUGAGACUGUCUUAUUUUACUCAGUAGGAUUAGGUGAGGUCUAUCCACAUUAUCGAGAGUCCAUUGCUUUUUAUUGCUGACUUAAUACCGCACUUGGAUGAAGCAGUCACCUGCUGAAGGACAUCUGGAGAGAUUCCAGUUUGGGCCUUUUAUGAAUAAAGCUGCUGUGAACAUUCUCGUUACAGGAAACAAAGCUCAAGAAGGUGAAAUGAUGUUCCAAGAUUACUUCGUAUACCUGAGUGGCAAAAGCUGACUCAUUUCCAGGCCUUCUAACCCUAAGUCGCAUAUCCUUUUAGGUCUGCAAACACGCCAGUAUCUACAAUAGCAGAGUCUUUGUCAGUUUGCUGUUUUCAUGCUGGUGAUGAAUCUGCAGACAGGUGCAUACUAUGUUAUUCAGCCUCCGUGGCACAUCUCUGAGAGGUCUUUGGCCAGGGCAGGAAAAUCCGUCGGUGGUCAUGGAAAACGGGAGUACUGCAUCUGCUCAUUCCAUAUUUUAACCAAUUACGCUAACUGCCCAGAGUGAUAAGCACAUUUUAAUGUCUCACUCAAUGGCAUAUUUCACAUAAGACAGUUUUAGUAUUUCUGACUACGUUCUUAGAACCUCUUCCAAGACAAGCCUUUCUGAGAGUCUGUAUUAGCUUAUUUUAUUUUAUUUUUACCUAUUUUUUACUUAGGUAUAAUUGACACAUGACACUGUAUUUGUUUAGGUGUACAGAAUAAUGAUUUGACGUAUGUAUAUAUUGCUAAAGGAAUAAAUUUAGUUAAAACCCAUCCCCACACAUAAUUACACAUUUUUUCUUGUGAUGAGAAUUUUGAGAUCUACUUUCUUAAUAGCACUGUAUUAUAUAUUUGGAAGUUGCUGACUGUAGACAGCAUACUUUGUAUUCCAUCCCCAUAAUUUGUAUACCUCAUAACUGGAAGUUUAUAUCUUUUGAACAUUUUCAUCUAUUUCCUAAUAACCCUGUAUGAGGUUUCUUAAAAUACAGUAUCAUCUUUAUUAAAGAAACAAAAUCCUACAUUAAGAAAGAAUUCAAUCGACUUGUAAAAUGAACAAAAUUUUUGGCAAGAAACUAAAAUCUUAUGCAUUAAAUCUUGAUUAAGUUCUAGCAAUUAAAAAGAAAUUUGUUUUGUUAAAUAUCAGGAAAGAAAAUAAACAUCUUCACCCUAAAAUAUCUGAUCACAAAUUGUAAACAGAGAAACAUAGAGAAAUAGAAAUAAAAAUAAAUUUUAUUCACAUUCUAGAUUCCAUAUUAUUCCGAGUUAGGCCAAUAAAUGUACUUUAUCCAAAGGUAAUUUUGGUUUGGUUUGAAUCCUUUGGUCAUCAGAAGUACACAAAAAGUACACACAAAAAAAGCUGUCUUCUAGGAAAAUAAAAAUAAAAUCUGACAUACCAGUAAGGUAGGGGGGACAUGAGAAAGUCACAGAAUGGGUAAGGGCUAGUUAAAUGCUUAAAACAUACUUGAGAUUUCAAAUACCUCACAGUAUCCCUGGAAUAUGGUCAUCAGGGAAAGGGCGGUGACCCUGUGUCUUUUUUUGGACCACUAUUAAAAAGAUAGGUUGGCAACCUACGUUUAACUUCUUUUUUAACUUCCUUUUCCCCUUUAUUAAUACUGCAAAGUGCUCUUCAAAGUCCUCUUCAAAGGAUCUUCCUCUCUUUAAGUUUUGGACCUUGAACAUCUCCUAUUAAAAAUAACCCAUUUUCAGGAACUUUAUGCCUCAUAUACAGAACAUCUUAAACAUAUUUUAUAUUUUAUAUGAAAUGGACUUGACUUUCCAAGUUCCCACACAGAGAUACAAAAAUCUAGCCAUCAGGUUACAGCUUCCGUUCUGCCUCAUGGGAUGGCGAUUGUUAUGAAGAAGCGUAGGGGUUGUUUUUAAUAUAAAGAACAUAUUUUUGUUGUUAAAAUAUUCAUGAAAUGACAGACGGUGGUGCACAUGGCGUUCCCAUGAUCUAAAAAGGCAGGGGACGGAUUAGAGGGAAAACCCCAGUGUUAAUCACUUACCAGGUGCAAAGCACCGCAUUGCAGGUGCCCGUGGCCCAGCAUGACCUGCCCUCGGGGAGCUUGACCCUGAGGUGCAAAGGGGAGCACGGAAACCUCUCUUAACCCAAAAGUAACCCUACUUGUGAGUCUCAUUUCAGACUAUUUUCCCCAAAUGCUUUACCCUGAGAAACUGUUUGUGUGUUAGGGAUGGGAAAGGAGGGAAGGUUUGCUUCUGGGUCUCAUUUUCAUACUUAGGACUUUGGGAUUAAUUGCUACGGAAUAAUUCCAGCGCCGUAAAAACAGGAGAAUUGUGACUACAACCUGGAAGAAGCAGCGAGUGUUCCCAAGAAAUAAAAGCGUUCUUUCUCUAAAACUGCGGAAAAGUAAAUUUUUGCAGAUGUUCCUAACGUGGGCAAAGAAGAUAAAUUACUCCGGAUAGUUUACGGUCAUUGAAAAUCUUGAGGAAGUCUAUAAAGUUCUCACCGAUUAAGAAGCCACGUUCUGUGAGAAAAUUGGCAAUUAAUUUGCUUGUUUACUCUCUUUAAAACUGUUUGAUAUGCUCUAGCAAAGCCACUUUGAUACACAAGUAUAUUUGCUUCAUUAGUUCUACGCACGAUCAUGUAGUUGGCUUUAAUAAAUCACUCAAAAUAGUGGCAUGCAAGGCAAAGCAGAACAAUGUAAUACUUUAAGAUGUUUGGCUAAUAGAGGAUCCCUGCACUCCCCCACUUUUUUAGGCGUUGGUAUUAUGUAAAUCUUGCUUGUUUACAAUUUAACCUGUGCUGGAUUUUAAUUUAAAUAAAGAAAAUUAUUUAAUGGAGGGUUAUUAAACAGGUUUCACAUUGCAGGUGUUCCAGUCCCCCAGGUGGAUACUCACUAAGGGAGCUUAUUAAAGUUUGUUCGACUUAUUUAUGUCGCAGUCCUUUUCCUCCUCCUCUCGUGUGAAACCUGCGUGGCCCAGAACUCCCACUGACGUUCCGGCAGAGCCUGGGUUUAUAGAUUUGGGAAGAGCAACACGCUUGAGGCUUGGGAUGCUCACCAAGCAAUCGCGUUUGAUGUCUCAGUCUAGAUGUGUUGGAUUUUUCUACAGCAUUUCUGUCUGGGAAACGCGAAUUGUACUCUGCAUAAAGAAAUUAUUUGGAAAUUUGGUUCCCACCCUCGCAAAGAGAAUCGCCGGAGGAAGGGGGUAUAAAGAAUUGCAUAAACAUGUUAAGAGUAUUUGAAAUAUUUUAUGAUGCAUAAGCUUUUUAAAGCAUUUGUAACAUGAAAAGCCAAGUCGGGGACAACACACGAUGGGAGGGGAGGCUACCGCGUGGGAAGCAGGGGUUGCUUGUGAUGGAAAAAUAAAUCAGGAAGUUUGAGGAGAAGGAAGUUCUGACACGGCUCCUCCUCCGUCAGACUGGGCCCUAUUUCUAUAACUGGUUUCAAGAGGAGGAAACAGAUCUGCUUUGUUUCAUGAUAGUCGCAUGUGGGAGGGGGCUGAGGAGAAGAACCUGGGAGGAUAAAAAAAAUGUCUAGUCCAAAUAAAGGGUGUAGUUUUCAAGAGUAAAUGUAGGAUGGACAUAAGACAGCUUGUGAGGGGAAAAAAAGAAUGUAGUAUGUGUGAUUACUUGACGUGGGAAUGUAAGGGGGACAAAAGGGUGGGGACACCAAUUUUGAGACUAGUGAUGGAGAGAGUAAGGACAAGACACAGGAGAAUCCAAGCAGCUGCUACCCCCCCACCCCGCAGGCCGGUGGGGACAGAGGUGGCGGGCCGCUAUGCCCGCAGGACUCCCGAGGCUACAGCUCCACUCCUCCUAGAAGUCUACUUUUUUGAUAUUAAACAUUUGGACAUUCAUGUCCUGUUCUCGACCUGCAAUUCACUUCUUCAGAUCUCCUUCUUAGAUGCGGUAAAAGAAUCUUGAAAAAGGGGAAAUGAAGAUGUCCAAGGGCAUGUUAGAGGGGGCGCAAUGAUGCAUUUCACGGGCUCUCACACUCUCUACUCCAGAGCUUCUUCC